AGGAAUCAAAGUGGGUUCCCUGGUCUAAAGAUAUGGCCUGAUGCUUGUUUGGCCUUGAGAAUGACACCUUUUUGCCAUUUCUUUCUGUAGGACUUGAAGGGUUUCCAGCCUGUAGAGAUUCCCAGAAUGAAAUACCUGAAUCUAUCCUGAUCAUUACCAAUAAGAACUUGUAGCCAACCUCCUAAAUGAUAGCAAACAUCCAUAACCCACUGAACAAUAAAAAACUGCCCACUCCUUUUGGGAA
Long non-coding RNA from Phodopus roborovskii (desert hamster), 244 nucleotides. RefSeq lists it as uncharacterized. The record is from RefSeq and is a predicted model, not a curated record. NCBI's taxonomy places the organism in Eukaryota, Metazoa, Chordata, Mammalia, Rodentia, Cricetidae. The transcript has 2 exons.